AUACGUAGGGGGCGAGCGUUGUCCGGAAUGAUUGGGCGUAAAGGGCGCGUAGGCGGCCCGGUAAGUCUGGAGUGAAAGUCCUGUUUUUAAGAUGGGAAUUGCUUUGGAUACUGUCGGGCUUGAGUGCAGGAGAGGUAAGUGGAAUUCCCAGUGUAGCGGUGAUAUGCGUAGAGAUUGGGAGGAACACCAGUGGCGAAGGCGACUUACUGGACUGUAACUGACGCUGAGGCGCGAAAGUGUGGGGAGCAAACAGGAUUAGAUACCCUGGUAGUCCACACUGUAAACGAUGAAUGCUAGGUGUAGGGGGUAUCGACUCCCUCUGUGCCGCAGUUAACACAAUAAGUAUUCCGCCUGGGGAGUACGGCCGCAAGGCUUAAACUCAAAUGAAUUGGCGGGG
This 397-nucleotide ribosomal RNA is filed under the name uncultured bacterium. Its description in RNAcentral is "partial 16S ribosomal RNA". It matches the Rfam family "Bacterial small subunit ribosomal RNA", at positions 523 to 918 of the family's 1533-position model. The record is from RNAcentral.